Molecule: ribosomal RNA, 433 nt
Filed under: uncultured bacterium
Lineage: Bacteria
Description: partial 16S ribosomal RNA
Rfam family: Bacterial small subunit ribosomal RNA
Source: RNAcentral
AACGAACGCUGGCGGCAGGCCUAACACAUGCAAGUCGAGCGAGGACUUCGGUCCUAGCGGCGGACGGGUGAGUAACGCGUGGGAACGUGCCCUUUGCUUCGGAAUAGCCCUGGGAAACUGGGAGUAAUACCGGAUGAGCCCUUUGGGGGAAAGAUUUAUCGGCGAAGGAUCGGCCCGCGUUGGAUUAGGUAGUUGGUGGGGUAAUGGCCUACCAAGCCGACGAUCCAUAGCUGGUUUGAGAGGAUGAUCAGCCACACUGGGACUGAGACACGGCCCAGACUCCUACGGGAGGCAGCAGUGGGGAAUCUUAGACAAUGGGGGAAACCCUGAUCUAGCCAUGCCGCGUGAGCGAUGAAGGCCUUAGGGUUGUAAAGCUCUUUCAGCUGGGAAGAUAAUGACGGUGCCAGCAGAAGAAGCCCCGGCUAACUCCGUG